RNAcentral lists this non-coding RNA (85 nucleotides) under uncultured Succiniclasticum sp. RNAcentral describes it as "Glycine riboswitch". It matches the Rfam family "Glycine riboswitch aptamer". From Rfam's summary of the family: This family represents the bacterial glycine riboswitch. Glycine riboswitches usually consist of two metabolite-binding aptamers domains with similar structures in tandem. The aptamers cooperatively bind glycine to regulate the expression of downstream genes. Lineage: Bacteria; Bacillati; Bacillota; Negativicutes; Acidaminococcales; Acidaminococcaceae. The record is from RNAcentral.
ACACAACUCUGGAGAUACUCAUUUAAUUGAGAGCCGAAGGUGCAAGGGCACAGCCCUAAUCUCUCAGGCAAAAGGACAGGGUCGG